RNAcentral lists this ribosomal RNA (729 nucleotides) under uncultured eukaryote. Its description in RNAcentral is "SSU rRNA". It matches the Rfam family "Eukaryotic small subunit ribosomal RNA", at positions 670 to 1426 of the family's 1831-position model. The record is from RNAcentral.
CGGGUGCACUGAUCCGGCUGGGCCUUUCCCUCUGUGGAACCCCAUGGCCUUCACUGGCUGUGCGGGGGAAACAGGACUUUUACUGUGAAAAAAUUAGAGUGCUCCAGGCAGGCCUAUGCUCGAAUACAUUAGCAUGGAAUAAUAGAAUAGGACGCGUGGUUCUAUUUUGUUGGUUUCUAGGACCGCCGUAAUGAUUAAUAGGGACAGUCGGGGGCAUCAGUAUUCAAUUGUCAGAGGUGAAAUUCUUGGAUCUAUUGAAGACUAACUACUGCGAAAGCAUUUGCCAAGGAUGUUUUCAUUGAUAAGGAACGAAAGUUAGGGGAUCGAAGACGAUCAGAUACCGUCGUAGUCUUAACUAUAAACUAUGCCGACUAGGGAUCGGACGAUGUUAUUUCUUGACGCGUUCGGCACCUUUCGAGAAAUCAAAGUGCUUGGGCUCCAGGGGGAGUAUGGUCGCAAGGCUGAAACUUAAAGAAAUUGACGGAAGGGCACCACCAGGGGUGGAACCUGCGGCUUAAUUUGACUCAACACGGGGAAACUCACCAGGUCCAGACACAGUGAGGAUUGACAGAUUGAGAGCUCUUUCUUGAUUCUGUGGGUGGUGGUGCAUGGCCGUUCUUAGUUGGUGGAGUGAUUUGUCUGCUUAAUUGCGAUAACGAACGAGACCUUAACCUGCUAAAUAGCCCGUACUGCUCUGGCAGUUCGCCGGCUUCUUAGAGGGACUAUCGG